GGGAUCGCCCUUAGAGUUUGAUCCUGGCUCAGGACGAACGCUGGCGGCGUGCCUAAUACAUGCAAGUCGAGCGGACAGAAGGGAGCUUGCUCCCGGAUGUUAGCGGCGGACGGGUGAGUAACACGUGGGCAACCUGCCUGUAAGACUGGGAUAACUCCGGGAAACCGGAGCUAAUACCGGAUAGUUCCUUGAACCGCAUGGUUCAAGGAUGAAAGACGGUUUCGGCUGUCACUUACAGAUGGACCCGCGGCGCAUUAGCUAGUUGGUGGGGUAAUGGCUCACCAAGGCGACGAUGCGUAGCCGACCUGAGAGGGUGAUCGGCCACACUGGGACUGAGACACGGCCCAGACUCCUACGGGAGGCAGCAGUAGGGAAUCUUCCGCAAUGGACGAAAGUCUGACGGAGCAACGCCGCGUGAGUGAUGAAGGUUUUCGGAUCGUAAAGCUCUGUUGUUAGGGAAGAACAAGUGCGAGAGUAACUGCUCGCACCUUGACGGUACCUAACCAGAAAGCCACGGCUAACUACGUGCCAGCAGCCGCGGUAAUACGUAGGUGGCAAGCGUUGUCCGGAAUUAUUGGGCGUAAAGGGCUCGCAGGCGGUUUCUUAAGUCUGAUGUGAAAGCCCCCGGCUCAACCGGGGAGGGUCAUUGGAAACUGGGAAACUUGAGUGCAGAAGAGGAGAGUGGAAUUCCACGUGUAGCGGUGAAAUGCGUAGAGAUGUGGAGGAACACCAGUGGCGAAGGCGACUCUCUGGUCUGUAACUGACGCUGAGGAGCGAAAGCGUGGGGAGCGAACAGGAUUAGAUACCCUGGUAGUCCACGCCGUAAACGAUGAGUGCUAAGUGUUAGGGGGUUUCCGCCCCUUAGUGCUGCAGCUAACGCAUUAAGCACUCCGCCUGGGGAGUACGGUCGCAAGACUGAAACUCAAAGGAAUUGACGGGGGCCCGCACAAGCGGUGGAGCAUGUGGUUUAAUUCGAAGCAACGUGAAGAACCUUACCAGGUCUUGACAUCCUCUGACAACCCUAGAGAUAGGGCUUUCCCUUCGGGGGCAGAGUGACAGGUGGUGCAUGGUUGUCGUCAGCUCGUGUCGUGAGAUGUUGGGUUAAGUCCCGCAACGAGCGCAACCCUUGAUCUUAGUUGCCAGCAUUCAGUUGGGCACUCUAAGGUGACUGCCGGUGACAAACCGGAGGAAGGUGGGGAUGACGUCAAAUCAUCAUGCCCCUUAUGACCUGGGCUACACACGUGCUACAAUGGACAGAACAAAGGGCUGCGAGACCGCAAGGUUUAGCCAAUCCCAUAAAUCUGUUCUCAGUUCGGAUCGCAGUCUGCAACUCGACUGCGUGAAGCUGGAAUCGCUAGUAAUCGCGGAUCAGCAUGCCGCGGUGAAUACGUUCCCGGGCCUUGUACACACCGCCCGUCACACCACGAGAGUUUGCAACACCCGAAGUCGGUGAGGUAACCUUUAUGGAGCCAGCCGCCGAAGGUGGGGCAGAUGAUUGGGGUGAAGUCGUAACAAGGUAGCCGUAAAGGGCGAUCC
RNAcentral lists this ribosomal RNA (1536 nucleotides) under Bacillus sp. 6140. RNAcentral describes it as "bacterial SSU rRNA". It matches the Rfam family "Bacterial small subunit ribosomal RNA". Lineage: Bacteria; Bacillati; Bacillota; Bacilli; Caryophanales; Bacillaceae. The record is from RNAcentral.